AGGAAGUAGUGUAGUGGAAGCACUAAGA
Molecule: transfer RNA, 28 nt
Filed under: Crenichthys nevadae (Railroad Valley springfish)
Lineage: Eukaryota; Metazoa; Chordata; Actinopteri; Cyprinodontiformes; Goodeidae
Also listed under: 4 other names
Description: partial tRNA-Gln
Source: RNAcentral